CCUACGGGAGGCUGCAGUGGGGAAUAUUGGACAAUGGGGGGAACCCUGAUCCAGCCAUGCCGCGUGUGUGAAGAAGGCCCUCGGGUUGUAAAGCACUUUCAGUGAGGAAGAACGCCUGGUGGUUAAUACCCAUCAGGAAAGACAUCACUCACAGAAGAAGCACCGGCUAACUCCGUGCCAGCAGCCGCGGUAAUACGGAGGGUGCGAGCGUUAAUCGGAAUUACUGGGCGUAAAGCGCGCGUAGGUGGCUUGAUAAGCCGGUUGUGAAAGCCCCGGGCUCAACCUGGGAACGGCAUCCGGAACUGUCGAGAUAGAGUGCAGGAGAGGAAGGUAGAGUUCCCGGUGUAGCGGUGAAAUGCGUAGAGAUCGGGAGGAAUACCAGUGGCGAAGGCGGCCUACUGGACUGACACUGCCACUGAGGUGCGAAAGCGUGGGUAGCAAACAGGAUUAGAUACCCGUGUAGUC
RNAcentral lists this ribosomal RNA (465 nucleotides) under Vreelandella stevensii. RNAcentral's name for it is "partial 16S ribosomal RNA". It matches the Rfam family "Bacterial small subunit ribosomal RNA", at positions 338 to 795 of the family's 1533-position model. Lineage: Bacteria; Pseudomonadati; Pseudomonadota; Gammaproteobacteria; Oceanospirillales; Halomonadaceae. The record is from RNAcentral.